CAUCCUAGCCGGAUGGGGUCAAUGGGCAAUCAAUAAGCCCAUGACCUAGGUUGGUGACUUCCAUUGCACUUUGGAGGGGCGCACACCUAAGGUCAACCCAAGUGGUUGAGCCUACGACCCAGUUUUUGGCAGUGAGGAAUUGUGUUAUCUCGUCCCCUAU
Molecule: non-coding RNA, 160 nt
Organism: Capsicum annuum
Lineage: Eukaryota; Viridiplantae; Streptophyta; Magnoliopsida; Solanales; Solanaceae
Source: Rfam